GAUGAACGCUGGCGGCGUGCCUAAUACAUGCAAGUCGAGCGAACGGACGAGAAGCUUGCUUCUCUGAUGUUAGCGGCGGACGGGUGAGUAACACGUGGAUAACCUACCUAUAAGACUGGGAUAACUUCGGGAAACCGGAGCUAAUACCGGAUAAUAUUUUGAACCGCAUGGUUCAAAAGUGAAAGACGGUCUUGCUGUCACUUAUAGAUGGAUCCGCGCUGCAUUAGCUAGUUGGUAAGGUAACGGCUUACCAAGGCAACGAUUCAUAGCCGACCUGAGAGGGUGAUCGGCCACACUGGAACUGAGACGCGGUCCAGACUCCUACGGGAGGCAGCAGUAGGGAAUCUUCCGCAAUGGGCGAAAGCCUGACGGAGCAACGCCGCGUGAGUGAUGAAGGUCUUCGGAUCGUAAAACUCUGUUAUUAGGGAAGAACAUAUGUGUAAGUAACUGUGCACAUCUUGACGGUACCUAAUCAGAAAGCCACGGCUAACUACGUG
RNAcentral lists this ribosomal RNA (497 nucleotides) under uncultured bacterium. RNAcentral's name for it is "partial 16S ribosomal RNA". It matches the Rfam family "Bacterial small subunit ribosomal RNA", at positions 28 to 507 of the family's 1533-position model. The record is from RNAcentral.